This 1374-nucleotide ribosomal RNA is filed under the name uncultured bacterium. Its description in RNAcentral is "bacterial SSU rRNA". It matches the Rfam family "Bacterial small subunit ribosomal RNA", at positions 29 to 1393 of the family's 1533-position model. The record is from RNAcentral.
UUGAACGCUGGCGGUAUGCUUAACACAUGCAAGUCGAACGGAAACGAUACUAGCUUGCUAGUAGGCGUCGAGUGGCGGACGGGUGAGUAACGCGUAGGAAUCUGCCUGAUAGUGGGGGAUAGCCCGAAGAAAUUCGGAUUAAUACCGCAUAAUCUAUUCGUAGUAAAGUGGGGGACUUUCGAGCCUCACGCUAUCAGAUGAGCCUGCGUAAGAUUAGCUUGUUGGUAGGGUAAAAGCCUACCAAGGCGACGAUCUUUAGCUGGUCUGAGAGGAUGAUCAGCCACAUCGGGACUGAGACACGGCCCGAACUCCUACGGGAGGCAGCAGUGGGGAAUAUUGGACAAUGGGGGCAACCCUGAUCCAGCAAUACCGCGUGUGUGAAGAAGGCCUGAGGGUUGUAAAGCACUUUCAAUUGUGAAGAAAAGUUAGCGGUUAAUAACCGUUAGCCUUGACGUUAACUUUAGAAGAAGCACCGGCUAACUCCGUGCCAGCAGCCGCGGUAAUACGGAGGGUGCAAGCGUUAAUCGGAAAUUACUGGGCGUAAAGCGUGCGUAGGCGGUUUAUUAAGUCAGAUGUGAAAGCCCCGGGCUUAACCUGGGAACUGCAUUUGAAACUGGUCAACUAGAGUAUGGUAGAGGAAAGUGGAAUUUCUGGUGUAGCGGUGAAAUGCGUAGAUAUCAGAAGGAACAUCAAUGGCGAAGGCAGCUUUCUGGACCAAUACUGACGCUGAGGUACGAAAGCGUGGGUAGCAAACAGGAUUAGAUACCCUGGUAGUCCACGCCGUAAACGAUGAUAACUAGCCGUUGGGGGGAUUUACCCUUUAGUGGCGAAGCUAACGCGUUAAGUUAUCCGCCUGGGGAGUACGGCCGCAAGGUUAAAACUCAAAGGAAUUGACGGGGACCCGCACAAGCGGUGGAGCAUGUGGUUUAAUUCGAUGCAACGCGAAGAACCUUACCUGGUCUUGACAUCCUGCGAACUUUCUAGAAAUAGAUUGGUGCCUUCGGGAACGCAGUGACAGGUGCUGCAUGGCUGUCGUCAGCUCGUGUCGUGAGAUGUUGGGUUAAGUCCCGUAACGAGCGCAACCCCUAUCCUUAUUUGCCAGCACAUCAUGGUGGGAACUAUAAGGAGACUGCCGGUGAUAAACCGGAGGAAGGCGGGGACGACGUCAAGUCAUCAUGGCCCUUACGACCAGGGCUACACACGUGCUACAAUGGGAAGGACAAAGAGCCGCGAAGCCGCGAGGUGUAGCUAAUCUCAUAAACCUUUUCGUAGUCCGGAUUGGAGUCUGCAACUCGACUCCAUGAAGUCGGAAUCGCUAGUAAUCGUAGAUCAGAAUGCUACGGUGAAUACGUUCCCGGGUCUUGUACACACCGC